UGACUUUAAGGAAACUGGAAAUUGUGC
Molecule: non-coding RNA, 27 nt
Filed under: Homo sapiens (human)
Lineage: Eukaryota; Metazoa; Chordata; Mammalia; Primates; Hominidae
Source: RNAcentral